CAGGAAUGUUUACCCAGUAAGAUUUACUUUGGUUUGGCCUGUAACUGUGGAAAAUACCUCUCUGUGUUAAUGAAUAGAUUCAGUGAGGCUGGCCAAAACACCUGCCAAAAACACCUUUAAAAUGUUCCUUUUCACAACUCCAAAAUUAAGAGUGUUCAAAAUGUUAAUUUUAAGCAAUAAAGGAACAAGCACAUACCUUGUGUUAAGUAGUGUUUGUAUGAAGUAGAAAUUCAAAUUACCAAGGCUUAAUUAUGUGAAGUUAUCUGAGACUUUGCUAUAAUUUUGGGUAAAGUGUUUGGAAAAAGUAUCAUUAAAGUAGAUACAUGUCCUGUCACUUUCUGAAGAAUAAAAUUAACUCUUAUUUUAAAAAUUUGUAGAACACCAAAGCAUAGGAAGUAGUGAUGAUGAGAGCUCCUGUGACAAACAUGAGACUGGAAGUUAUUCUGAGUGUUCACUGUGAAAUACUUCCUAUGUGAUUAAGCACCCAAGUGUCUCUGUUUGCUUGCUUAAUCUUUAUGACAUCUCUAGGAAGUGAAUGUGCCCAUUAAUUAAUCAGUUCUACUAAUCUCUCCUAAUUCACAAGAAAUGGCUUUUGUUGAAAAUUACCUUUGGAACAGAAGGCCCAAUGAAUGUUUCAUCUUGAUUUUAUAUAUUACCUAUGGCAUUUAGUACUUUUAGUCCUUCUUUGUGGAGGACUAUAACUUCACUAAAGUUAAAUUUGGAAAAAUUUAAUCUAUUUUACAUGUGUUUAUAACAGGAAACUUUGAAAGUACUAAUCUAAAGGAAAGCAAUAAUUAUUCAGUUAUAAAAUAAUUAUAUAAUUGUAUCUGUUUUUUUUCAUCCCUUGAAUGGUUCCUGUGUGAGUUCCUCUCAAAGAAACAGAGAAAUUGUGUUUUAUUUUACAAUUAUGCAGCUGUACAAGUAAAGGACAAAAUGGUGAUAAACGGUGUAGGAGGGAAAUCAACAAAACCUACUUAUUAAGAUUCUUUUAACCGUCAGUGAUGAGAACAUUUCUUUCUUGCAGAUAUAGGGAGGAUAUUUCUGGAAGGAAGAUUUUAUGGCCCACAUCUGGGGAAGAUCAGCUGGGGUUUAUGGCCCUCCUUAGAGGAGAAGAGAGGAAGUUCAUCACCUUGCUGGAAACACCAUCACAGACAAAGAGGUUUGUAAGUGAUUCCAAAUGCAGAAUUGAAGACUCCUCUGAGGACUCUGAUCUUGACAGAAGAGAGAAGACAGUGCUCGCCCACAGAAACAAGAGCAUUUCAGUGCCAGUGGCCCAAGAUUUAAAAGAAGCAUACUGACAUUUUCUUUACUUUGCUAGCAUGACCUUAGGCAUUUCAUCCAGACUGUUCUUCAAG
Molecule: long non-coding RNA, 1355 nt
Filed under: Cricetulus griseus (Chinese hamster)
Lineage: Eukaryota; Metazoa; Chordata; Mammalia; Rodentia; Cricetidae
Description: lncRNA (ENSCGRG00015035362.1)
Source: RNAcentral